GGGUGUAUAGCUCAGUGUUAGAGCAUUCGACUGCAGAUCCGAGAGGUCUCCGGUUCAAAUCCGGGUGUCCCCU
Molecule: non-coding RNA, 73 nt
Organism: Trichonephila inaurata madagascariensis
Lineage: Eukaryota; Metazoa; Arthropoda; Arachnida; Araneae; Nephilidae
Source: the annotation of a GenBank genome assembly